Molecule: transfer RNA, 76 nt
Filed under: Eubacteriales bacterium
Lineage: Bacteria; Bacillati; Bacillota; Clostridia; Eubacteriales
Description: tRNA-Ala
Rfam family: tRNA
About the family: Transfer RNA (tRNA) molecules are approximately 80 nucleotides in length.
Source: RNAcentral
GGGGGCGUAGCUCAGUUGGGAGAGCGCUUGAAUGGCAUUCAAGAGGUCAGGGGUUCGAUUCCCCUCGUCUCCACCA